GAUGAACGCUGGCGGCGUGCCUAAUACAUGCAAGUCGAGCGAACAGACGAGGAGCUUGCUCCUCUGACGUUAGCGGCGGACGGGUGAGUAACACGUGGAUAACCUACCUAUAAGACUGGGAUAACUUCGGGAAACCGGAGCUAAUACCGGAUAAUAUAUUGAACCGCAUGGUUCAAUAGUGAAAGACGGUUUUGCUGUCACUUAUAGAUGGAUCCGCGCCGCAUUAGCUAGUUGGUAAGGUAACGGCUUACCAAGGCAGCGAUGCGUAGCCGACCUGAGAGGGUGAUCGGCCACACUGGAACUGAGACACGGUCCAGACUCCUACGGGGGGCAGCAGUAGGGAAUCUUCCGCAAUGGGCGAAAGCCUGACGGAGCAACGCCGCGUGAGUGAUGAAGGUCUUCGGAUCGUAAAACUCUGUUAUUAGGGAAGAACAAAUGUGUAAGUAACUAUGCACGUCUUGACGGUACCUAAUCAGAAAGCCACGGCUAACUACGUG
This 497-nucleotide ribosomal RNA is filed under the name uncultured bacterium. RNAcentral's name for it is "partial 16S ribosomal RNA". It matches the Rfam family "Bacterial small subunit ribosomal RNA", at positions 28 to 507 of the family's 1533-position model. The record is from RNAcentral.